Molecule: non-coding RNA, 163 nt
Filed under: fish gut metagenome
Source: RNAcentral
AUAAGUUAUGGUUCGACAUCAAUCGAUUAAAAGGGAAAUAGGUUAAAAUCCUAUACGGUCCCGCCACUGUAAUGAGGAUGAAACUAGCAUAUACCACUGAUUUAUAAAUUGGGAAGGGUUAGGAGUAAAAUGAUUCUAAGUCAGGAGAACUGCCAUAACUUAA